RNAcentral lists this ribosomal RNA (179 nucleotides) under uncultured bacterium. Its description in RNAcentral is "partial 16S ribosomal RNA". It matches the Rfam family "Bacterial small subunit ribosomal RNA", at positions 355 to 530 of the family's 1533-position model. The record is from RNAcentral.
UGAGGAAUAUUGGUCAAUGGGCGAGAGCCUGAACCAGCCAAGUCGCGUGAAGGAUGAAGGAUCUAUGGUUUGUAAACUUCUUUUAUAUGGGAAUAAAGUGAGGAACGUGUUCCUUUUGUAUGUACCAUAUGAAUAAGCAUCGGCUAACUCCGUGCCAGCAGCUGCGGUAAUCAUCAUCU